CGCAAUGUGAUUUCUGCCC
This 19-nucleotide small nuclear RNA is filed under the name Arabidopsis thaliana (thale cress). RNAcentral describes it as "snRNA_02960". The record is from RNAcentral. Lineage: Eukaryota; Viridiplantae; Streptophyta; Magnoliopsida; Brassicales; Brassicaceae.